Molecule: ribozyme, 77 nt
Filed under: unclassified sequences
Description: HDV ribozyme from F. prausnitzii
Rfam family: HDV ribozyme from F. prausnitzii
Source: RNAcentral
GUCGCUCGAAACUUUGCACACCUCUACGUGGUGGGCGGCAGGCAACACAGUAUGGGUGCUGUGGCUGAGAUGCAGAG